This 381-nucleotide ribosomal RNA is filed under the name Dawkinsia filamentosa (blackspot barb). RNAcentral's name for it is "partial small subunit ribosomal RNA". Lineage: Eukaryota; Metazoa; Chordata; Actinopteri; Cypriniformes; Cyprinidae. The record is from RNAcentral.
UUGACUACAACAAAAUGUCCGCCAGUACUACAAGCACUAGCUUAAAACCCAAAGACCUGACGGUGCCUCAGAUCCACCUAGAGGAGCCUGUUCUAGAACCGAUAACCCCCGUUCAACCUCACCACUUCUGGCCACCCCAGCCUAUAUACCGCCGUCGUCAGCUUACCCUGUGAAGGCAACAAAAGUAAGCAAAAUGGGCACAACCCCAAACGUCAGGUCGAGGUGUAGCGCAUGAAGUGGGAAGAAAUGGGCUACAUUUUCUACCACAGAACACUACGAAUAUGUACCAUGAAAUAGUACUUAAAGGAGGAUUUAGCAGUAAAGGGGAAAUAGAGUGCCCCAUUGAACCCGGCUCUGAGGCGCGUACACACCGCCGAAAAA